Molecule: long non-coding RNA, 474 nt
Filed under: Pan troglodytes (chimpanzee)
Lineage: Eukaryota; Metazoa; Chordata; Mammalia; Primates; Hominidae
Description: long non-coding RNA NONPTRT003645
Source: RNAcentral
CUGUGUCUCUGAAAGGAAUCUAGCCCUGUCCCACCUCUGGAGGUUGUCCUGGUUGUUCCUCCAUCUGGUUUCCUUUUCUUAAUAUGACAUCAUCUUCUCAGGUGUCACUCUCUGGUGAUGAUGCUGGUGCUGAUAGCCAAUGUGCCUGUCGUGCUUUCUGUACACCAUACUCAGUCCUAAGCCUCUUUUGUACAGCUCUGUGAGAUAGAAACUACUCACAGUAUACCCAUUCUACACACUAUCACAAGAACAGCACCAAGAGAGAAAUCUGCCCCCAUGAUCCAAUCACCUCUCACCAGGCCCCACCUCCAACACUGGGGAUUACAAUUGACCAUGAUGUUUGGGUGGGGACACAAAUCCAAACCAUGUCAGAUAUGAUAUAUGAUGUGAUAGAUAAUACAACGCAAUAUACUGUAUUAUGUUAUGCUAUACUGUGUUGUGCAGCACACCCAGGAUUUCUCAAUAGGAGAGGGG